AACGCACAUUGCGCCUAUUAGUAUUCUAAUGGGCAUGCCUGUUCGAGCGUCAUUUCAACCCUCAAGCCUUAGUUGCUUGGCGUUGGGAGCUUAUCUUGCCGCAAGGCGGGACAACUCCUUAAAAUUAUUGGCGGAGUCGCGGUGACCCCAAGCGCAGUAAUUCUUUUUUCUCGCUUUAGGUGUUACCGCUGGCUUCUAGCCAUUAAACCCCCUAAUUUUAUAAUGGUUGACCUCGGAUCAGGUAGGACUACCCGCUGAACUUAA
This 264-nucleotide unclassified non-coding RNA is filed under the name uncultured Xylariales. RNAcentral describes it as "sequence contains 5.8S rRNA gene, ITS2, 28S rRNA gene". Lineage: Eukaryota; Fungi; Ascomycota; Sordariomycetes; Xylariales. The record is from RNAcentral.